CGGGGAGCUGCAGGGGGCAGUGGCUUGGUGGACGCUGCCCAGGCACACCGACAGCUGCGCCCAGCGCCCCAUCUGUGGGCUCCCUCCUUCUCCCAUCUGCAGGGCGCUGGGAAUCCACAGAUGGGCAGGUGACAGGCGGGCAGCGUCCCUGCAGAGCGGCCUCCCUGGCCCAAGACACGAUGUGGGACUGGCUGGUGCAGGGGGCAGUGGACAGACUCCAGCUGGGCUGAGCACACGGCCAAGGCUGCCCAGACAGUCUAGACUGUCCCUCCUUCACAGGAACAUGCAGGAUGAGAAGGGGAAAGGACUGCCCGGCCCGGCGUCCCCCGCACGCCCGUCACGGCCACCCAGGGACCUGCCCUCUCCAGGAGCUCAUCACUGCCCUGGCUGGGGUUGUCCCCGCCUGGCCCUCUGCCCCUCCCACCUGUCCCUCCUUCUGCCGGCCUCCCACCACCCGGCCAUCAUUCCUGCUCCCAGGGAGCCCUGCCGCUGGUCAGGGCCAGAGCGCCCACUGGCACCCAGGGGACCCCAGAAGGAAUCGGGAGACGCCACUCCUGCCACAGACGACCCAAGGCUCAGGCUGGGGUGAGGUGCCUAGCUGGGGGCAAAAUCGAGGACAGUCCCCAAGUCUCAAUCAUCAAGAUAGGCGACGUUUGGACGCGACAUUUCCCAAAACUGAGUGUGGCCGAGGUGUCCCUAAGUCCAGAAGAACCGUGUCUUCUCAACACGGUUCAGCCCGGCUCCUGUGGGCAGAGGUGUGGGGGG
RNAcentral lists this long non-coding RNA (765 nucleotides) under Marmota monax (woodchuck). Lineage: Eukaryota; Metazoa; Chordata; Mammalia; Rodentia; Sciuridae. The record is from RNAcentral.